This 207-nucleotide ribosomal RNA is filed under the name uncultured bacterium. Its description in RNAcentral is "partial 16S ribosomal RNA". It matches the Rfam family "Bacterial small subunit ribosomal RNA", at positions 568 to 774 of the family's 1533-position model. The record is from RNAcentral.
CGUCUAGGCGGUCUGGAAAGUUGGGUGUGAAAUCCCUCGGCUUAACCGAGGAACUGCACUCAAAACUAUCAAACUAGAGUAUGGCAGAAGUGAACGGAAUUCUGAGUGUAGCGGUGGAAUGCGUAGAUAUUCAGAAGAACACCAGUGGCGAAGGCGGUUCACUAGGCCAAUACUGACGCUGAAGCGCGAAAGCCAGGGGAGCGAACG